This 828-nucleotide ribosomal RNA is filed under the name uncultured bacterium. RNAcentral describes it as "bacterial SSU rRNA". It matches the Rfam family "Bacterial small subunit ribosomal RNA", at positions 66 to 890 of the family's 1533-position model. The record is from RNAcentral.
GGGGCAGCAUGGUGUAGCAAUACACUGAUGGCGACCGGCAAACGGGUGCGGAACACGUACAGAACCUUCCUUCAAGCGGGGAAUAGCCCAGAGAAAUUUGGAUUAAUACCCCAUAGCAUAAUGGAGUGGCAUCACUUUGUUAUUAAAGAUUUAUCACUUGAAGAUGGCUGUGCGGCUGAUUAGGUAGUUGGCGGGGUAACGGCCCACCAAGCCUGCGAUCAGUAACUGGUGUGGGAGCACGACCAGUCACACGGGCACUGAGACACGGGCCCGACUCCUACGGGAGGCAGCAGUAAGGAAUAUUGGUCAAUGGACGAAAGUCUGAACCAGCCAUGCCGCGUGGAGGAUGAAGGUCCUCUGGAUUGUAAACUUCUUUUAUCUGGGACGAAAAAAGGUCUUUCUAGAUCGUCUGACGGUACCAGAUGAAUAAGCACCGGCUAACUCCGUGCCAGCAGCCGCGGUAAUACGGAGGGUGCAAGCGUUAUCCGGAUUCACUGGGUUUAAAGGGUGCGUAGGUGGGUUGGUAAGUCAGUGGUGAAAUCUUCGAGCUUAACUCGGAAACUGCCAUUGAUACUAUCAGUCUUGAAUAUUGUGGAGGUUAGCGGAAUAUGUCAUGUAGCGGUGAAAUGCUUAGAUAUGACAUAGAACACCAAUUGCGAAGGCAGCUGGCUACACAUAUAUUGACACUGAGGCACGAAAGCGUGGGGAUCAAACAGGAUUAGAUACCCUGGUAGUCCACGCCCUAAACUAUGGAUACUCGACAUACGCGAUACACUGUGUGUGUCUGAGCGAAAGCAUUAAGUAUCCCACCUGGGAAGUACGAUCGCA